UGAUAUGUAAAAUGAUUGUUUCUAAAUAAAAGAAAGAAAGAUAGUAGUGGAACCUUUGGAACAUAGGGCCCAGUGGGCAGAAGUAGGUCCCUCAGGGAUGGGCCUUUGAAGGUCAUCCCUGCCCCUGUUUCCAGUCCACUGCUCAAUUCCCACUCUGGCACAUGUAACUAAGUCUGGGAACUUUAGUCAAUUGUUCACAGUGAUUGAACAACAAGCAUAAGUUACUUUUCUUCUCACUAUGACCAAAUGCCUGCCACAGACAAGGGAGAAAGACUUUUUUGUCUGAUGGUUUUAUUGAAUACAGUCUGACACAAUGGGCAAGGUACUCAGAAUCUCUCCUACAUGUGCUGGUUCCAACUUGUGGCUGCUGCUUCUUCACAUGGUGGCAGAGCCAGAAAUGAGCAGUGGAUCUAUAGAGUAAAAAGAACAGACAACUAAAUAAGCAAUCUCUUCCUUUCCAUCUACACUACAAAUACCUAGGUCCUUAGAUACUCUUGCUGAACUUCUGAACUUACCUUGCCCUUCCGGUAUUAAUGUUCUAGUGCCUAGCAACUUCAGGAAUUUAUUUGACACUGGCCAUGUGGAGUUAUAUGAGUCACAUUUUGUAGACUCAUUUUCAAGCUUUAAAAAUUAUAUGUUCAAGGUUUUGAUGGUACGGCCAAGAUGCCCAAGUCAACUUAUCAAACGCUCUUAUCUCUCUUCUCUUCUCUUCUGUUCUUCCUGCCUUUCUCUCUUUCUCUUCCUUUCUUCUCUCCUCCUCCUUCCUUCUCUCCCUGUCCUCCUCCUCUCUUAUCCUCUCUCUUCCUUUUGUUCCUAUGACAUUUGUUCCUAGUCAUUGUCUUUCUAGGGAUCUGGUUCCUAUCUUCAUAUAGAAUGUAUAAAUAAUCUCAUCCCUCAGCCAUUGUGACAAUGACUGGAAAUAUAAUUUUGUGACAUGACCCUAAUAAUUUUGCUGAUCCCUAGCAAGAUGAUGUGGACCUAUUGUCUCCUGCCCAAUUCAUGAUGGAAAAUUAACUGUUUCCUCAUUUUGUAUCUGUUUAUCUUCUUGUGCACACAUAUCAGUUAAAGGAAUCACACUAAGCCUAAUCAAAGGGAACACAUCUCUUUGAGGUCUAGGACAGUGCACUCCUGGUAUUGCUUUGCCAUAGCUGAGGCACCAGAACUGAGGCUGCAAGCUAUCUGCCUGUACAUCUGUGAUUAAGAAAAUCCUUUGUCUAUUGUAUCAGUAUAAAAUAUUUCCUUCUUCCAUUAGUACUAAUUAGAUUUUAAAGUCUCACAGAUUAAAGCAGCUCCCUUGUAAUUGGUUUACAGAGCAUAAGAAAACUAAUAUAAAUCUCAUCUCUCCACAUUUGUGGAAAAUAAAAACGCUAAACUUCUCAUACCUACGUGUGUUACUUUUGAAAGAAUUUACUCUUAACUAUUAGCUAAGAAAUACCUUUAGAUAAGAAUACAAGAUCGGAUAAUCAACAGAACUCCUUAGAUAAGCUAGAUUAGUUGAAAAUAUUUGAAUUCAAAACAGAGUAAGAACAAAACCAAACAAAAGCACAGGUAUUUCAGAACCCAUAGAAACUGAUAAAAUGAUGGCUACUGGAGGCAAAGAUGGGGAAAUAAUAGUCAAAGCACGACACUUCAGCUCAAGAAAUCAAUUGUACAUUGCAGCAACUGUAAUCACUGGCAAUGUCCUUUAUAACUGAAAAUGGUGAGAGCCAUAUGGUUAGAUAUUAUCAUAAUAAACUGUCUGUGUGAUGUCAUGAGUUAAAAGGAUUGAUGUGAACAUUCUGUGACAUAUAUAGAUGAAAACAUAAUGUUCCACACCGUGAAGUGUACAAUUCUAGUUUGUCAGUUAAAACAUGAAUAAAAAAAAUAGCAAGUCAUAGCCUCUAGGAUUUCCUGAAUUUGCCUAGCAGAUUUGUUUGUCUUGACACUAGCUGACACAUACCCCUCUGAAAUUCAAAAAUUUUUUAUGCUGCUUUGAUGAUCAAAUCAUUUACAGCUACUUAUGGUAAUGGAUGAUGUAAAUUGUGUGAAAAAAAUUAAAUUCAAAGUCUGACAAACUGCUUCCAGUUGGUAGAAAUCAUAUUUUUUAAUGUAUCAGCUUAAACCUUGAUAUCCAAUGCCGUUCCUUAGCUUUAUGCUGUGGAAAUAGCACUGAAUAUUGUCGAUGAAUAAUCUCUGGAUCUAUAAAUAACUUUUUGAAUAAAGAAGAGCUAGCUACCUUGAUCAGAAGAUUUUGUGGUUUCACUUUUAUAUAUUUAUUUGUCUAGUGUUAAGAAACAGGAUUUCACUAUGUUGCUCAAGCUGUCCUUAAUCUCUGUGCUCAUCCACUCCUCAGGACUACAGUUGUGCACAACAUUACCUGAUUGUACUUCUCCAGACAAAAUCUUGCAGACUGUCUGCACUUGCUCUCAAAUCCCAUCUCCAUCUUGGCCAUGGUCCAGGCACAUCACAAUGCAGGAGGACUUCGGUUAAGGAAAGAACAGACAUGGAAGCAUAUCACUGAAGAAAUCGGUCUUGUGCUCGAUGAUGAUGAGUGGACACAAGAAGUGUGCCAUUGCCAUCAACAUAGUCUGAUGACAAACAAGUGAGGUAAGCUGCUAUGUUGGGAAGAUCCAUAAACCAAGAAAUUCAAAGAAACCAACAGCAAGCGGAAAAAUGAAGCCUCCAGUGUGGUGCAGAUGGGAUACAGUGAUGCCAAAACCUCUGGAAGCCUGGAAGCAGAUCUUCCCCUAGCCGAUACUUAUAUGAUGCCAUAGGUCUGCUGACCACCAUGGCCAAAGCUUGUUGAAAUCCUGAAGCAAAACUCCAGCUAAGCUGUGCACACAUUCUGACCUCUAGAUACUGCUACAAUGGAUGCAUGAUGUUUUCACAGUCUGUGAAGUAUUGUUCUGUACUUGCAGGGAAUUAUAUAGGGAAUAGCAGAUGGCAUGUAUUCAGACAUAUUAGCUAUAUAUCAUCAUGAUUGCAGUUACCAUUGUCAAUUACUAAAAUAUUAGUUUAUAUUCUUUCAUCUUUAUUCAUGUUUAUUUCAUGUUAUGGAUCAGUUAAGGUUGCAUUUCUUUUUAUGACCAAGGCUUUAAGAUUUAUUUUUAUUUAUUUUUGUGUACAUUUGCAUGUGAGUGCAUGUGUGUGUGCGUGUGUGUGUGUGUGUGUGUGUGUGUGUGUGUGAGUGUGUUGGUCAAAGAACAAUUUGCAGGAGAUGGUUUUCUCCUUUUACCAUGUGGAUCCUGGAAUUAAACUGAGGUCAUCCAGCUUGGCGACAACUAUCUUUACCUUCUGAGCGAUCUUGUCAGUCCAAAAUAACUUUUAAAGUAGUUAUUCGUGAAUGUAAUUCAUAAACAGAUGAGAUGUAUAAAUGAAACAAUAUUUCAAGUGAAAAAUUGAAGAUGCCAUGCAUCUAAAUUUUUAAUAUUUUUGCUAUAUUACUUUUAAAGUGUAUGUAAGCACUGUGUAUACUGAAUUGGGGAAGUGGGUUAAAAAUAAAACUUCUCACUGCUUCCGAAUAUACAGAGGUUAUAAACUGAAUUAAAAGAUAAGCAUUUAUCUGGGGAGCAAUUCAAUUUCAGGAAUGAUAAGUGUGUUUAUAAUGAUACAAUUAAUUCUAUGUCUCAACUCUUUCAUCAUUACAUGAUAUUAUACUCCAGUGUAACAAUUUAUGUAUGUGGAAAAUGUUUGAUUUAACCGACCUAAGUCAUUGUUGUAAUUUGAAUGUGAAAUACAUACACCCCUUCCCCCUGCACCAAGACCAUGUUUGAACAUUUGUCUCCAGAUGGUGAUGCUAUUUGGGACUAUUAUGGUACUUUCAGGGGUGAGAGCUUCUCUGGCAACAGACAUUGCAAUUUUAUAGUCCCCGUUUGCUGUCCGCUUCCUCAGUGCAAAUGAGAAGUGACCCAGGUUCUCUUCAGUCAUGCCUAGCCCAAGAUCUAGCAUGAAUGCAGAUCACAUGUCAGAGGGUUCAUCCAUUUUGCUGUGGGAUUUUAUAGACAGUCACUUGGAAAGGUCUCCAAGGCUUCCUCCAUACCAAAACUCAGGAGGGGUGGGGUUUCUUCAUCAUUGAACCCUUGAUCUACCAAGAUUGUCUUAUGGGAUGAAGCUUUGACAUCAAAGACUCUAAACUCUUGUCCAAGCAUUUGAUGAGGAUGUCUCCUUGCAUUUGCAGAAAUUUCUGUCAAACAAGUUGAUACCUUAUCUCCCUUACUCUCAAUCAGUAAACUAGACUCAGUUUCUAAAUUGUUCACAAAAGUAUGGACAUAUGAGAUCAAGUGUAGUGUCAGAGUGGACCCUCAUAACAAAAUGUAGAAAGAAAAUGAAUUAGUAAGGGAAGCCCAGACAGUUGAGUGUUUGUUGUGGAAAGAUAUUAGACAGAAGAAUGACAUACUUGUAAAAUAUUUAGGCUCAAAAGCCUACAGUGGCCCAAGAACAUAGUAAGGCAAACAUCAGAAUUCCAGAAUGUCAAAAUCAUGUUAUGAUCUUUUUUUUUUUUAAUGGGAGGGAAUAUAAGUUAAAGUGCUGGGAUUCAUUUCUAUCUAGUUCAACACAGGGAGUAAGCUAUAGCAAGAACCAGGAGGACUGUGUAAUAAAGCCCUAAAGAGGGUAAAAGUUAGGAGAAAGAAAAGGCAAUUAUCCAUUAAGGUAAAAUUGCACUAUCAUAGAACAUCCUUUGCAUAGCCUAGCAUCACUCAGUUCAAAGAAUACAUUAGAUUGGUCCAUUGAGGAAUUAAGGCUCAUUUAGGUCCUGAGCCACAACCCUUUUACCAAAUAAACUAGAGCUCAAAAUUCUCCACUCUUUUUAGCUUCCACAAUGCAAGGAAAAAACAUCAAAUCUGAGAAGAACCUAGGAAUACUCAUGGCUGCGCUCUGGUGGGUGUCAGGAAAUAACAGCCUACAGUAAUGUAGUUCUACAUGCCUUGUGAGUCAAAAGAGCCAAGUCCAAUCUUCCUCUAGAAAAAAAUAGGUGAAGUCAUCUUAGAAAUAUGACCUCCAAAAGCAGAACACAGCAGCAUGCUGGCCAGCUUGGAAUGUUUUUGUGACACUAAGAGCACCUAGAAACUUACUGCCUGUGUUGUUGGUGUGGUGUUCCUCUAUUGAUGCCCCUGUUAGAAGUCUGAAUACUUCUCCCAUAUGAAUUCAAAGUCUAGGACCUUAGAACUCAAGACAAUGGAAAACAAGGAAAAUAAGUUAAAAACACGAUAUAGUAUCUUUACUAUAUGUCCAAAAGUCAUAUAGCAGAAUAUAUGAGCAUAUUAUUUUGUACUUGGUUACAAAAACAUAUGACAUUGUGGAAUGAAAUGAAAGAAAUGAAUUAGAAGAAAAACUUCUACAAAAUACAACUGGAAUCAAUAUAAGUUAUAAGGGUCAAUUAGUUUUCAUUUUUGUUAUUCUGAUCAUGUUUCUACAUUACAGAGACAAACACUGCUGUUAUUGAUAAGCCUCUACUGGUAUCUUCAUUGUGAUGUACAUCUUAAAACAUUAAGUCUCGGUGUCAUGCCAUCGUUCUUGUGAAGUUGUUCUCAAAUAUCUUAAUGUGCCAGAAUCAUGACAUAUCUAUAAAGAAGCUUUACAUAAUGGCUUCUCUGAAAGCUAUAAUUAUUGAUGAACUACUAUCUAUAAUUGUAGGACCUUUCAUAAUAAUGGGUUUGAUGCUUUCCUCUAAUUGCUAAGAGGCUGCAUAUUGAAACAUGAGAAGCUUGGACUAGAAAUGAAAUUGAACAUUUCUUGUCAAAAUUACUGCUGAACUAUGGACAAAGGAAAAACAUCUACACUGAGAGUACUUGUUUCUCUAAAAUUAAAUAUGCACCUAUGCAUACAGGAGCACACUCACAUGUGCAUUGGCAAUCCUUCCUAUACCAUCUAGCAAGUAGGUUAGCAUGCAAAUUUUAGCAAUAAGGUCUAAGAACCAGGCUGCAAUCAACAUGGUUAACACUGAGUAAGCAGUUCUGUUUCUUUGUUUUUCACUUAGAAACUGAACAGUAGAGUUCAUUUUAAAGUCUUUUAAUAGGAAGCCUAGAAGUUGCUUUAUUUUUUUAAAAACGCAUACAAGAGGAGAUCUACCUUAUUAAUUUUAAGUGGACAAUGUUGGUAAUUAUAAACACAUUAUUGUAGAACAAAUCUUUAGAAAUUUUUCAUCAUGUAGAAUCAAAACUUCAUACUUGUUGGACAACAAGUCUAUCUCUUCUUCCUUGGGUCAUGUGCAACCAUCAUUUAAUCCUCAGUUCCUAUGAGUUUGGCUAUUUGGAACCCUCAUGUAAUAGGAAUUACACAGUAUUUUUACUCAGUAAGUAGCUUAUUUCUUCAGCAAAUGUCCUUCAGGUCCCUUUGUGUUAUCACAUGAAGGCAGACUUUACUUGGUUUUGAAUGCUGAAUAGUUUGCGCUGUUUGAACAACAGUCUUCUCAGCUAUUUAUUCUCUGGAAGUCACUGAGGUCCCUUCUACAUCUAUUGUAAACAAAGCUGCAAAGAACACAGAAGGUCUCUUUCAGAUUCUAAUUUCAAUGAUUUCAGUAAACAUCCAAGCAUAGCAUUGAUUACUUAGGCAUAUGGUGGUUCUACCUUUAAUAUUUGAGGAAUUUCCAUAUUGUUUUCUAUGCUGUCUUCACAAUUUUAUAUUACUGCCAAAAGUUGAGAAGGGACUCAGUUUCUCCAGAUACUUGCUAUCACUGGCUAGCAUCAUCCUAAUGAUGGUUGAAUUGUCAUCCUGUAACAUAAUAUCGAAUCGUGAAUUUUACUUGUACUUCCCCUAGUUAUGCACAGCAUCUUUUUAUUUACCUGUUAGCCAUUUGUCUUCUUUAAGGCCACACUUGUUCAAAUCCUUUGCCUAAUUAUUUUACAUGCAUGUGCGCAUGUGUGUUAUUAUAUGUGUGUGUAAGCUUAUAUAUGUGUAUGCGGUUGGCCUCCUCGGCGUGCUGUGUUUCUAAACAAGAAGCAUGCUAUUUAAGUCAGAACACUGAAUUCUGAACUAUCAUGACUAGCCCAUAGCUAGUUUGCACUCUGCACAUCACUUUUAACGGGCUUCCUCCACAUAGAGACUGGUGAUAUGAGCAUUCCCAAGUCAUGUGCUAAGCAAUCACAGUCAGUAAACUAGGUAGGUAAAUAGUUGCUCCUAUGCAAUAAAGCACAUGCUGUUCCCUGAAACCAAAUCCGGAGUGGUUCAGUUCAGUGCCACAGGCACUGCAGUCUUGUUGGGGACACCCUGGUAAUGAUGGCAAUUUGGCACCCAAACCUAGGGGAUGUGAGUGCUACAGAGUAAAGGAACCUCCUGGUAAAAGAAAUGAGAGGAGGUUGGGGACUGAAUGGGUAAUUUGUUGCUGGGUCAAAGAGUGACUCAAAUGCAGACAGCUAAGUGAAUAACAAAAGAGAAAGGAAUUCAAGCACAAAUGCCUGAGUUAGAAAAGUUUUGGUCUGAGUUCCUAAGAUGAAUCCUUGGUUUUCUAUAGAAGGCAUGUUUGAUGUAGCGCUGUGGGUGAGAGCUUUGAAAAAUGCAAAGAGAGAGGAAGUUAGGACUGGACAUUCCUUGUCGGAAUCCUUCUAUCCUAUUAUUAUG
This is a non-coding RNA of Cricetulus griseus (Chinese hamster), 7536 nucleotides long. The record is from RefSeq and is a predicted model, not a curated record. NCBI's taxonomy places the organism in Eukaryota, Metazoa, Chordata, Mammalia, Rodentia, Cricetidae.